AUUGAACGCUGGCGGAAUGCUUUACACAUGCAAGUCGAACGGCAGCACGGGGGCAACCCUGGUGGCGAGUGGCGAACGGGUGAGUAAUACAUCGGAACGUGCCCAGUCGUGGGGGAUAACGUAGCGAAAGUUACGCUAAUACCGCAUACGAUCUACGGAUGAAAGCGGGGGACCGUAAGGCCUCGCGCGAUUGGAGCGGCCGAUGUCAGAUUAGGUAGUUGGUGAGGUAAAGGCUCACCAAGCCGACGAUCUGUAGCUGGUCUGAGAGGACGACCAGCCACACUGGGACUGAGACACGGCCCAGACUACUACGGGAGGCGGCAGUGGGGAAUUUUGGACAAUGGGCGCAAGCCUGAUCCAGCCAUUCCGCGUGCAGGACGAAGGCCUUCGGGUUGUAAACUGCUUUUGUACGGAACGAAAAGGCUCUGGUUAAUACCUGGGGCUCAUGACGGUACCGUAAGAAUAAGCACCGGCUAACUACGUGCCAGCAGCCGCAGUAA
This 500-nucleotide ribosomal RNA is filed under the name uncultured bacterium. Its description in RNAcentral is "partial 16S ribosomal RNA". It matches the Rfam family "Bacterial small subunit ribosomal RNA", at positions 30 to 523 of the family's 1533-position model. The record is from RNAcentral.